Molecule: ribosomal RNA, 301 nt
Filed under: uncultured bacterium
Lineage: Bacteria
Description: partial 16S ribosomal RNA
Rfam family: Bacterial small subunit ribosomal RNA
Source: RNAcentral
CAGUCGCCACGGUAAUACGAAGGGGGCUAGCGUUGUUCGGAAUUACUGGGCGUAAAGCGCACGUAGGCGGAUAUUUAAGUCAGGGGUGAAAUCCCAGAGCUCAACUCUGGAACUGCCUUUGAUGCUGGGUAUCUUGAGUAUGGAAGAGGUGAGUGGAAUUCCGAGUGUAGAGGUGAAAUUCGUAGAUAUUCGGAGGAACACCAGUGGCGAAGGCGGCUCACUGGUCCAUUACUGACGCUGAGGUGCGAAAGCGUGGGGAGCAAACAGGAUUAGAUACCCCAGUAGUCCCUGUCUCUUAUAA